RNAcentral lists this long non-coding RNA (232 nucleotides) under Nicotiana benthamiana. RNAcentral describes it as "long non-coding RNA (NBEN_LNC001277)". Lineage: Eukaryota; Viridiplantae; Streptophyta; Magnoliopsida; Solanales; Solanaceae. The record is from RNAcentral.
CAGGUCUAUGAUUCUCUCUUGUCCUCUCCCAUUUCCCUGUAUCUCUGGACUGACUGGAUUCCUGUUUAAAAAGAAAAAUUAUGCACACAAAGAGACACUUAAACAAUCUUUACAUUAAAAAAUUUCGUUGAGGAAAGAGAUUUUAUCAAUGUUGUUUCUAUGGGGGGGAGGGGGGUGAUGGGUGGAGGAACUGAUGCACGAAACUUCUUCAGCAGGAGGUUUUGUGUUUACU